GCAAACUUGGUCAUUUAGAGGAAGUAAAAGUCGUAACAAGGUUUCCGUAGGUGAACCUGCGGAAGGAUCAUUACCGAGUGAAAAGUCGUGAUAUUUCUCUAAAAAAGAAAGCGGCUAAUACACAUUUCCAAACACUUUUGUGAACAUUUCUUGUUGCUUUGGCUGGACAUCAGUAACAUGAGACAAUAAUACUCCAGUGCAAACUGGAAUGUCUUUUGUUUUUGACUUGGGAGAAGUUCUCUUGAAGAGUUUCCAGCCAGAGAUCUUUAUAAACACUUUUUUUCUUGCAUUUUAUAUUUUUAAUUAAAAAAAAUAAAAACUUUCAGCAACGGAUCUCUUGGCUCUCGCAUCGAUGAAGAACGCAGC
RNAcentral lists this unclassified non-coding RNA (366 nucleotides) under uncultured fungus. RNAcentral describes it as "partial contains small subunit ribosomal RNA, internal transcribed spacer 1, and 5.8S ribosomal RNA". The stretch from base 1 to 73 matches the Rfam family "Eukaryotic small subunit ribosomal RNA", at positions 1759 to 1831 of the family's 1831-position model. The record is from RNAcentral. Lineage: Eukaryota; Fungi.